RNAcentral lists this long non-coding RNA (728 nucleotides) under Medicago truncatula (barrel medic). RNAcentral's name for it is "long non-coding RNA (MTRU_LNC008728)". The record is from RNAcentral. Lineage: Eukaryota; Viridiplantae; Streptophyta; Magnoliopsida; Fabales; Fabaceae.
UCAACCGCAGCCAUCUUCUCUUCUUCACUAUCAUCAAAGCGUGUGCCUUUAAUUAAAUCACCAUCAUCACUACUAACAUCUCCACCAUCGAUGUCUACUUCACCAACAUCGCCUUCAAUUUCAUCCGCCACUACACCCUUUCCCUUUUGUUCCCCAAUAACAUCAGCAACAAUUAUAGCAUUUCCUAAAUUCACCUUAGGUUCAACAUACAAUUCAACAUCGCACUUGUUAUCACGAGCAUAAUCAGACAUUGCAGUUGCAUCAGUAUCAUUCCUGAAUGGCUUGAGGUCUUCAUCCAAUGAACCACUCUCAUGUUUCCACCAUAGCUUUACUAACUAUUCAUCAAAAGUAUCAUCCAUUUCCUUCAUGAUGUCACGAGCCUCGAAGAAUGACCAGAAAUCCGAAUCUUGCCCUUUGUAUGCAUACACAUCCCCGCCUUCAUACCAUAGAUUUGGGUCUUUGACAAAAAAAACCCUUUGUAAAGAAUAGAACUUUGAAUAAAACCAUAUGUGAUAAGGGAAAAAGGUCCUGUUAAUAUACACAUAAAUAAAUACCAAAUAAAUACAUACACAAAUACCAUAUACAUAACUGAUAUGGUACAAAUAACAUAUACCUUCCUAAAAAGAAAUACCAUAUACCAUACACAACUGAUACGGAACAUAUACACUCAAUAAAUAUCAUGUACUCAAAUACCAUUUACAAACACAAACACCCAAACAUACAUAUUG